Molecule: ribosomal RNA, 495 nt
Filed under: uncultured bacterium
Lineage: Bacteria
Description: partial 16S ribosomal RNA
Rfam family: Bacterial small subunit ribosomal RNA
Source: RNAcentral
GACGAACGCUGGCGGCGUGCCUAAUACAUGCAAGUAGAACGCUGAAGGAGGAGCUUGCUUCUCGGGAUGAGUUGCGAACGGGUGAGUAACGCGUAGGUAACCUGCCUGGUAGCGGGGGAUAACUAUUGGAAACGAUAGCUAAUACCGCAUAAGAGUAGAUGUUGCAUGACAUUUGCUUAAAAGGUGCAAUUGCAUCACUACCAGAUGGACCUGCGUUGUAUUAGCUAGUUGGUGAGGUAACGGCUCACCAAGGCGACGAUACAUAGCCGACCUGAGAGGGUGAUCGGCCACACUGGGACUGAGACACGGCCCAGACUCCUACGGGAGGCAGCAGUAGGGAAUCUUCGGCAAUGGACGGAAGUCUGACCGAGCAACGCCGCGUGAGUGAAGAAGGUUUUCGGAUCGUAAAGCUCUGUUGUAAGAGAAGAACGAGUGUGAGAGUGGAAAGUUCACACUGUGACGGUAUCUUACCAGAAAGGGACGGCUAACUACGUG